AUACGGAGGGUCCAAGCGUUAUCCGGAAUCAUUGGGUUUAAAGGGUCCGCAGGCGGUCAAUUAAGUCAGAGGUGAAAGCCCAUCGCUCAACGAUGGAACUGCCUUUGAUACUGGUUGACUUGAGUUAUACGGAAGUAGAUAGAAUAAGUAGUGUAGCGGUGAAAUGCAUAGAUAUUACUUAGAAUACCGAUUGCGAAGGCAGUCUACCACGUAUAUACUGACGCUGAGGGACGAAAGCGUGGGGAGCGAACAGGAUUAGAAACCCUAGUAGUCC
Molecule: ribosomal RNA, 274 nt
Filed under: uncultured bacterium
Lineage: Bacteria
Description: partial 16S ribosomal RNA
Rfam family: Bacterial small subunit ribosomal RNA
Source: RNAcentral